Molecule: long non-coding RNA, 921 nt
Organism: Penaeus indicus
Lineage: Eukaryota; Metazoa; Arthropoda; Malacostraca; Decapoda; Penaeidae
Exons: 2
Source: RefSeq, a predicted model, not a curated record
UAGAGAGAGAGACACAUACUAAAACAAAUACAAACGUGAACACCAGAUAUCAGCGCUACGACAUCACUAUUUCCGCCGGCCGAUGCUAGCGCCAGUGUCACAUCGGCGGUCAAGGGGUGUAGUCACGUCGCUCGCCUGGUGUGACAGAAACGCCGUUUUCUUUAUUUUAUUUUAUCGUUGUUACUGUUGUUAUUAGGAUUAUAUAUAUCAUCAUUCUCAUUGUUACUGUUGUGAGACUGAGGCAAGAAUGUCGGAUUCACAAACUCGACUUAAAAAGCGCCGACUUAAGGAGCUCUGAGCGAACGAAGCUACUCUCAAGGAUUAGUUUAUAUGCCUCAGGUUCUUUCAUUAUUAUUCCAGUCAUUUUCAUCAUUUCAUCUUCACUAUAAAAGCAUUUAAUCAUAACUUUGGCAUCACAGUACGUGUCUUCAUUACCGGUAUAUUCCUCACCUUCAUCAGUUCAGUAUCACUAUAAGCAACUAUAAUAGUGAAGUCACCAUCACUAUAAGUAAUCUCAGCAAAGCAGUCAGAAUCUUAAGAGCUCACCAUCAGUAUCGAUUUGUACAUCACAAAGACAUAAGUAGAAUUUUUUGUCAUCACAAGGGCACCAUAUCAUCACUAACAAUUCUUUAAUCAACACUAUCACCGUUAUUGUAAACUUGAUCAUCAUUACGGAACCACUUUUACCAUCAUAAAAAAGUGACGAACUUGAAAACCGAAACGCCAUUUUUGUUUAGCGUUUAUUAAAUCAAUCAAGACGGUUAAUCAAAGAGAUCGUUUGUUUGUUAUCUUCCGCAGUUUUUUUGUGUCUUUACUUGACUUUAUUGUGGUAUCCAUUUGCCUUAGUGUCUUAGGCGAUUAUAUUUUCUUGUGGGGUCUAUCUGUUUCUCUCUCUCUCUCUCUCUCUCUCUCUCUCUCUCU